UCUGAUGACUUCUGGGUUAGAGUGUUCUCUCUGGGUCAGUGGACCCAAGUGUGAUCCAUCAGUGGCAGAGUCAGUCUGCCAGUGUAGUCCUGUGUUUGUUGAGGGAAGAUGCUUGUCCACCGACCUGGUGGUUCUAGAUUUGACAGAUUUUGACGUCAUUCUAGGGAUGGACUGGUUAUCUACCCAUGGUGCUACCUUGGACUGCAGGGACAAGGUAGUCAGGUUCAGAGGUCAGGAUGGGUCUGAGGUU
This 250-nucleotide long non-coding RNA is filed under the name Manihot esculenta (cassava). RNAcentral describes it as "long non-coding RNA (MESC_LNC002225)". Lineage: Eukaryota; Viridiplantae; Streptophyta; Magnoliopsida; Malpighiales; Euphorbiaceae. The record is from RNAcentral.